GGGCUCCUCCAGCGCGGCCAGAGCGGACGCAGAGGACGGGGAGGCGCCGCCGAGAGCGAGCCAGGGCUGCUAGCACGUUGUCACCUUUCACUUGGAGACAAAAUCCAUCACGUCAGCAGUCACAGGGCACCCUGGUUCCCUCUCUGAAUGAACUGUUAAAUGACUAAGCUGGCUCCCAACAGAGGCAGAGCCCAGCAAUAUGCGGCCUGUAAUCUGUCAGAUGAUACAGCAACAGGCCCAGUGAGGGGCCCGACACACCCCCCAGGAGAGUGGAGUCUCUCACUGCAUGUGACGUGGAAGACGCCGAAGAGGUGAGGGAGGCACCAUAUGCUGCGGGCCUGCCAAGGGAGAAUAAACAGCACCGGCAGCCUGGCACAGAGCUCUGGCGGGAACGUCCACCAAGAUCGGUCAGGCACUCUCAUGGCGUCCUCCUGGAUACAGGCUUUUGCUUUUGUUUUUAAUUUUGGAGCAGUGAAGCCGAAAGUGAGGAGUGAGGACAAGGAGAAGACCCAUUUGCUCCUGUUCAUUCAAACAGCAUCUCUUCAUUUUGAAAUUGGCAAGAGGCAGUUCGGGGCUGUGGCAGGUCCUGUACACCACCUGUUGCCUCCCAAGUCACUGUGCCUUUCUGGCUUUCUUUACCUAUGUCCUGUAAAACGCCAGAGGCAGUUUGGACACACAGAGAUACCAGGGAUGUGUGCACCAUGUGAGGACCCAGCCAGAAGGUUAGCAUUUGCAGGCCAAGGAGAGAAGCCUCAGGAAGAAACCAGCCUUGCUGAUACCUUGACCUUGAACUUCCAGCCUCCAGAACUGUGAGAAAUAAAGUUGUGUUGGUUAGGCCCCA
This is a long non-coding RNA of Homo sapiens (human), 841 nucleotides long. Ensembl annotates it as long intergenic non-protein coding RNA 923. Lineage: Eukaryota; Metazoa; Chordata; Mammalia; Primates; Hominidae. The record is from Ensembl.